This 460-nucleotide ribosomal RNA is filed under the name uncultured bacterium. RNAcentral's name for it is "partial 16S ribosomal RNA". It matches the Rfam family "Bacterial small subunit ribosomal RNA", at positions 338 to 795 of the family's 1533-position model. The record is from RNAcentral.
CCUACGGGUGGCAGCAGUGAGGAAUAUUGGUCAAUGGGCGCAAGGCUGACCCAGCCAAGUAGCGUGAAGGAUGACUGCCCUAUGGUUUGUAAACUUCUUUUAUAAGGGAAUAAAGUGAGCCACGUGUGCCUUUUUGCCUGUACCUUAUGAAUAAGCAUCGGCUAACUCCGUGCCAAAAGCCGCGGUAAUACGGAGGAUGCGAGCGUUAUCCGGAUUUAUUGGGGUUAAAGGGAGCUUAGUUGGUGUUUUAAGUCAGUUGGGAAAGUUUGCGGCUCAACCAUAAAAUUGCAGUUGAUACUGGCAGCAGUGAGGACAGUAGAGGUAGGCGGAAUUCGUGGUGUAGCGGUGAAAUGCUUAGAUAUCACGAAGAACUCCGAUUGCGAAGGCAGCCUACUAAACCGCAACUGACAUUGAUGCACGAAAGUGUGGGUAUCAAACAGGAUUAGAUACCCCAGUAGUC